This 433-nucleotide ribosomal RNA is filed under the name uncultured bacterium. RNAcentral's name for it is "partial 16S ribosomal RNA". It matches the Rfam family "Bacterial small subunit ribosomal RNA", at positions 29 to 507 of the family's 1533-position model. The record is from RNAcentral.
AACGAACGCUGGCGGCAUGCCUAACACAUGCAAGUCGAACGAUCCCUUCGGGGGUAGUGGCGCAUGGGUGCGUAAGGCGUGGGAACCUUCCCGUAGGUUCGGAAUAACUCAGAGAAAUUUGCGCUAAUACCGGAUAAUGUCUUCGGACCAAAGAUUUAUCGCCUUUGGAUGGGCCCGCGUUGGAUUAGCUAGUUGGUGGGGUAAAGGCCUACCAAGGCGACGAUCCAUAGCUGGUCUGAGAGGAUGAUCAGCCACACUGGGACUGAGACACGGCCCAGACUCCUACGGAAGGCAGCAGUGGGGAAUAUUGGACGAUGGGCGAGAGCCUGAGCCAGCAAUGCCGCGUGAGUGAUGAAGGCCUUAGGGUUGUAAAGCUCUGUUACACGGGAUGAUAAUGACAGUACCGGGAGAAUAAGCCACGGCUAACUCCGUG